CAGCACCUCAAGUGGUCAGGAUGAUUAUUGGGCCUAAAGCAUCCGUAGCCGGCUCUGUAAGUUUUCGGUUAAAUCUGUAUGCUUAACAUACAGGCUGCCGGGAAUGCUGCAGAGCUAGGGAGUGGGAGAGGUAGACGGUACUCGGUAGGAAGGGGUAAAAUCCUUUGAUCUAUUGAUGACCACCUGUGGCGAAGGCGGUCUACCAGAACACGUCCGACGGUGAGGGAUGAAAGCUGGGGGAGCAAACCGGAUUAGAUACCCGAGUAGUCC
Molecule: ribosomal RNA, 270 nt
Filed under: uncultured archaeon
Lineage: Archaea
Description: partial 16S ribosomal RNA
Rfam family: Archaeal small subunit ribosomal RNA
Source: RNAcentral